UACGUAGGGUGCGAGCGUUAAUCGGAAUUACUGGGCGUAAAGCGUGCGCAGGCGGUUUUGUAAGCCAGAUGUGAAAUCCCCGGGCUUAACCUGGGAAUGGCAUUUGGGACUGCAAGGCUGGAGUUUGGCAGAGGAGACUGGAAUUCCUGGUGUAGCAGUGAAAUGCGUAGAUAUCAGGGGGAAUACCGAUGGCGAAGGCAGGUCUCUGGGCUAUAACUGACGCUCAUGCACGAAAGCGUGGGGAGCAAACAGG
This 253-nucleotide ribosomal RNA is filed under the name uncultured bacterium. RNAcentral describes it as "partial 16S ribosomal RNA". It matches the Rfam family "Bacterial small subunit ribosomal RNA", at positions 524 to 776 of the family's 1533-position model. The record is from RNAcentral.